Molecule: ribosomal RNA, 726 nt
Filed under: uncultured bacterium
Lineage: Bacteria
Description: bacterial SSU rRNA
Rfam family: Bacterial small subunit ribosomal RNA
Source: RNAcentral
AGCGGCGAACGGGUGAGUAACAGGGAGGUGAUCUGCCCAUCAGACGGGGACAACGAUUGGAAACGAUCGCUAAUACCGGAUAGGACGAAAGUUUAAAGGUGCUUCUGGCACCGCUGAUGGAUGAGCCUGCGGCGCAUUAGCUAGUUGGUAGGGUAAAGGCCUACCAAGGCGACGAUGCGUAGCCGACCUGAGAGGGUGAACGGCCACACUGGGACUGAGACACGGCCCAGACUCCUACGGGAGGCAGCAGUAGGGAAUCUUCGGCAAUGGGCGAAAGCCUGACCGAGCAACGCCGCGUGAAUGAUGAAGGCCUUCGGGUUGUAAAAUUCUGUUAUAAGGGAAGAACGACUUUAGUAGGAAAUGGCUAGAGUGUGACGGUACCUUAUGAGAAAGCCACGGCUAACUACGUGCCAGCAGCCGCGGUAAUACGUAGGUGGCGAGCGUUAUCCGGAAUUAUUGGGCGUAAAGAGCGCGCAGGUGGUUGAUUAAGUCUGAUGUGAAAGCCCACGGCUUAACCGUGGAGGGUCAUUGGAAACUGGUCGACUUGAGUGCAGAAGAGGGAAGUGGAAUUCCAUGUGUAGCGGUGAAAUGCGUAGAGAUAUGGAGGAACACCAGUGGCGAAGGCGGCUUCCUGGUCUGUAACUGACACUGAGGCGCGAAAGCGUGGGGAGCAAACAGGAUUAGAUACCCUGGUAGUCCACGCCGUAAACGAUGAGUGCUAAGUGU